UUUGGUGCAAACCAAAUUGAAAGAUAACUACAUUUCGCAUGUCUCAUUGAAAGCAAUGGAACUUUUGUCAGUCAUGGAGCCAGAUCAAGACCAUUAUGCCUGAAUAAGAACCUGGUAACUAAAGGAGUUACUAUUCAGACAGGUAUAUGGUUCUAGGGCUUGUAAAAGAAGCUUAGUAUAUGGCACACUUGCUUGAUAUGAAGAUGGACAGUAACUGAGCCCGACAAGUGUCAAGAUAUAACUGAUAUGAAAAUUGUUCUUGUGGACACCUGGUUUGCUAAAACACUUAAUCUGACAAAACACCUCUGGUUCAGGACCUCUGCCUCAUUCAGUGCACCAGAUGGACCUGCUCAGGGGAGGAAUCAGGGAUAUGUGGAUGAGGAUACCGAAAACGAAAAGAAGAGCACUCAAGUUAAAAAUGGAAACAUCCAGAAGAAGCAAAAGCAUUUUAGGAUAUAGGCCAGGAACCCAUCUGAACAACAAGGCAAGUGUUCAGAGCACAAAAAUAUCCCCCCUCAACUUAGGAAUAUAUAGAUAAAACAUAGACACAGGGAGAAAGAUUCAUUUACAGAGCCCAG
This is a non-coding RNA of Pelodiscus sinensis (Chinese soft-shelled turtle), 578 nucleotides long. NCBI's taxonomy places the organism in Eukaryota, Metazoa, Chordata, Testudines, Trionychidae. The record is from RefSeq and is a predicted model, not a curated record.